This 465-nucleotide ribosomal RNA is filed under the name uncultured bacterium. Its description in RNAcentral is "partial 16S ribosomal RNA". It matches the Rfam family "Bacterial small subunit ribosomal RNA", at positions 338 to 795 of the family's 1533-position model. The record is from RNAcentral.
CCUACGGGCGGCAGCAGUAGGGAAUUUUCGUCAAUGGGCGCAAGCCUGAACGAGCAAUGCAGCGUGAACGAGGAAGGUCUUAGGAGCGGAAAGUUCUGUUGAUGGGGAAAAAAAGCGGGGAGAGGAAAUGCUUUCUGAUUUAUAUUAUCCUUCGAGGAAGUCACGGCUAACUACGUGCCCGCAGCCAAUGUAAUACGAAGGGGGCGAGCGGUAGCCGGAUUGAUUGGGCGUAAAGGGAGCGUAGGCGGCCUGCUAAGUCUGAAGUGAAAGGUAGCGGCUCAACAUGUACAGGCUAGGGAAACUGGCGGGUUAUAGAGCAAGUGAGGGCGGUGGAACUCCAUGUGGAGCGGUAAAAUGCGUAGAUAUAUGGGAGAACAUCAGUGUCGAAGGCGGCCGCCUGGCCUGUUAACUGACGCUGAGGCACGAAAGCGUGGGGAGCAAACAGGAUUAGAUACCCCGGUAGUC